CGUGCCAGCAGCCGCGGUAAUACGGAGGAUCCGAGCGUUAUCCGGAUUUAUUGGGUUUAAAGGGAGCGUAGGCGGACUAUUAAGUCAGCUGUGAAAGUUUGCGGCUCAACCGUAAAAUUGCAGUUGAUACUGGUCGUCUUGAGUGCAGUAGAGGUAGGCGGAAUUCGUGGUGUAGCGGUGAAAUGCUUAGAUAUCACGAAGAACUCCGAUUGCGAAGGCAGCUUACUGGACUGUAACUGACGCUGAUGCUCGAAAGUGUGGGUAUCAAACAGGAUUAGAUACCCUGGUAGUCCACGCCGUAAACGAUGA
RNAcentral lists this ribosomal RNA (309 nucleotides) under uncultured bacterium. Its description in RNAcentral is "bacterial SSU rRNA". It matches the Rfam family "Bacterial small subunit ribosomal RNA", at positions 504 to 812 of the family's 1533-position model. The record is from RNAcentral.